CCUUGAGAAACACUUUCUCUGAAUCCUUUGUAAGAGCACCAAGUACCUUUCUAAAAGAUGGAAGAUCCUACUAGAUCUACGAGGUGGAGAAGGUACUCAUAUACUGGCUCAUCUUAAAUAGGUUGUAUAGAUCCUAUGACUCAUUGUUCUUUCGAGAUUUUUCUUUGAGUUCAUCCACCUACUGUUUCUAAGAAAAUAGUAUGAUUGCUCAUAAUCGCAUUGUGAAACAUUGGAA
This 235-nucleotide long non-coding RNA is filed under the name Elaeis guineensis (African oil palm). RNAcentral describes it as "long non-coding RNA (EGUI_LNC046445)". The record is from RNAcentral. Lineage: Eukaryota; Viridiplantae; Streptophyta; Magnoliopsida; Arecales; Arecaceae.